GCUGGCGGCACGCUUAACACAUGCAAGUCGAACGAAGUAGCAAUACUUAGUGGCAGACGGGUGAGUAACAUGUGGGUAUCUGCCCUUUGGCCUGGAAUAACACGAGGAAACUUGUGCUAAUACCGGAUAAGUCUUUACGGAGAAAGCUUUAUGCACCAUUGGAUGAGCCCGCACUUGAUUAGUUUGUUGGUGGGGUAAUGGCCUACCAAGACUGUGAUCAAUAGCUGAUUUGAGAGGAUGAUCAGCCACAUUGGGACUGAGACACGGCCCAAACUCCUACGGGAGGCAGCAGUGGGGAAUCUUGCACAAUGGAGGAAACUCUGAUGCAGCGAUGCCGCGUGAGUGAAGAAGGCCCUUGGGUUGUAAAGCUCUUUCGUCGGGGAAGAAAAUGACUGUACCCGAAUAAGAAGGUCCGGCUAACUUCGUGCCAGCAGCCGCGGUAAUACGAAGGGACCUAGCGUAGUUCGGAAUUACUGGGCUUAAAGAGUUCGUAGGUGGUUGAAAAAGUUAGUGGUGAAAUCCCAGAGCUUAACUCUGGAACUGCCAUUAAAACUUUUCAGCUAGAGUAUGAUAGAGGAAAGCAGA
RNAcentral lists this ribosomal RNA (585 nucleotides) under uncultured Pseudomonadota bacterium. RNAcentral describes it as "bacterial SSU rRNA". It matches the Rfam family "Bacterial small subunit ribosomal RNA", at positions 35 to 665 of the family's 1533-position model. The record is from RNAcentral. Lineage: Bacteria; Pseudomonadati; Pseudomonadota.